UACGUAGGGUGCAAGCGUUAAUCGGAAUUACUGGGCGUAAAGCGUGCGCAGGCGGUUCGGAAAGAAAGAUGUGAAAUCCCAGGGCUUAACCUUGGAACUGCAUUUUUAACUACCGGGCUAGAGUGUGUCAGAGGGGGGUGGAAUUCCACGUGUAGCAGUGAAAUGCGUAGAUAUGUGGAGGAACACCGGUGGCGAAGGCGGCCCACUGGUCCGGUACUGACGCUGAGGUGCGAAAGCGUGGGGAGCAAACAGG
This 253-nucleotide ribosomal RNA is filed under the name uncultured bacterium. RNAcentral describes it as "partial 16S ribosomal RNA". It matches the Rfam family "Bacterial small subunit ribosomal RNA", at positions 524 to 776 of the family's 1533-position model. The record is from RNAcentral.